AACAGGUGCUGUGACACUGGGGUCACUGGAUGGCAGAAAAGAGGCUCUGGCACAAACAAAUUGUAAACAUAAGUGAAGGACAAGGAAGAGAAUUAGGAAUUCUGUCCCUGACCACAUCUACAUUUUGGGAAAUGAUUUAUUGAGGACAUGCUGUGAUGCUGAGAUGAUUCAAGUACUAGCAGCUAACUGCAUGGAAGAAUAAUGUCAGAAGCUCUGGGUUGCAGUUGCAGUAAUUCCAGGUGAGACUGACUCCAGGAGUGGCAUCAGAGCAGGACCUGUGCAGCAACACUGACAGAAGUGAGCAAAGACAGCACCACAGACGGGAAGCAGCUGGGGGACUCCCUGGAUUCCUGCGUAGAAGCACCCAGCAGAGUGGUGUGUUAUAUCGAAGGGGCCUGGCUGAACCCUGCCUGCUCUGAGCACAGUCUCAUGGAGACUGGAGCUUGGCAGCCACUGAGCCCAGAGCGCGACUUUGGGCACAGCACAAUUUUUAGAGCACUGCACUGUGUUUCCCAGCAUCGUGUUUCUUGGCAUUGUGCAGGCUGGAACUGAAUGUAUUUGUUCUGGGUUUGUGCACCAGUGGACCUUCAGAUCAGGUUGCAGAUACAUGAUCACCGUGCAUGAGAGGCAGGAAAUAGUGGUUUAUUGUUUGAAGCAUAAAUCAGAAACCUCAUGCUCAGAAAAAGAAAAAAAAAAAAAAGGAGUUUAAGGUGGUGCAGAGUCACAUUUAAACAUGGGUGAAGCUCUGUGUCUUGGCAGAGAUGAUGUGUGUUUGAAAACAGAUUCUAAGCAAAGAGAAAUGCCAGUGGUCCCUGUGCACUGCGAUACAGGGAAAUGCACUGCCUGCUGUGGGAUUCACGUGCUGGAACUCACCUGUACCCAAAAAUUAUGAGGUAAAAAAAAGCUAUAAAUGAUAAAAAAAAAAUCUCUCCAGGCUACCCAAAACCAUGCUGCUGCGUCUCGCUGGAGGAGAGCUCAAUAGGCAUAGAGGAGUCUGCUCUGCUGGGCUGCAGACACCCCACUCCCUCCCUGGGAAGUGUGGCAAGCUGUUCCAUGGCACACCCAUCUCUGCCACAGUGCUCCACUUUGGAAAAGUAAGCAGGAAGAACCGAAGACCUGUAGAUUUCCAGAGAGUGAUUCUGGGGCUUUGCUGCAGAGACCUCAAUUGCAUCUUACUGAGUGCCCCUGCCAGUGGCUGGCAUGGAGAGGACUUAUUCCUCAGUGAACUGUGUCCUGGUCAGCCCUGCCUGACUGCCCUGCUCCCACCUCGCCCAGGAGGUGCCCAGGCUGCUCCAUGAAGAUUUUGGCAGGUAGUAAAUAUCCACAGUAAGGGCUUUGUACUCUAUGCUCCCUGUGACCUUAAGGGCUGAGCAGAUCAGGGCCUCAACCAGGACCAAGAAAGCAUCCUGCACUCAAGCUGAGACCAAGGUUCAGCAGGUCCUUCAGAGCCUCCGUGUCUCUCUGUACCUCAGACAGCAAAUAUGCUACUUACAAUGCAUAUGAAGGAUCUCUCAAUAAAAUUCUGUCUUGAGCAGCCCCAGCAUCACAUGUCCAAGCUCUCAUACUAAAGCUCAGCCUGCAGCUACAAGCACUGCACACUUCAGUAUUUACUCAAACCACUGACCAAGAGACCUGAUUCUGCAGACAAAUGUGUAAAAAUUUUCACACCUUGGAUCUGCGCCUUGGCAACCAUCUGGGGCCACCUCGGCACUGAGGAACGAGGGAACAGCUUUCAAAUGAUCACUUAGGUAUGCUUAUUUCAGUGUCUUAUAUUUUACCUUUUCUACCAGCACCACUGCUUUUUGGCUACAAUAUAUAACUCCCAUUUACUCAAACUAGGGUUGCUUGGAUAGACAUAUAUAUCUUUCUCUGUUUUGACGACCAUUUCUGCCCAUAAACACAAGAAAAAAUGGUCUGAUCCUGUCAAAUUGCACACUGUGGGAGGGAAGAAGGGGCAGGAUCUGAAUCCUCUAAAAUAUUUGUCCUGGAAACCUUACGCUGGCCCAUAGUUGCAGACGAAGUGUGCUGCGUUGGUUCCUGAGAAGUAUGACACUGUGGGACAGAAGUGGACAGCACAGCCAACCUUGUAGCUUUGAGCCCAAACGACCUGGAAAGACAGACACAAACAUUGGUGGCUGAAUAUUUGGUUAACAGCUACACUUUUAGGGAAAAGCCUUGCCCUCCUCUGUGUUACAUGUCAGAUAGGCUUUGGAAUGCUCCUUGGACAUGAUUUGCAGUGGUAAGCAGUAAUGAUGGAUAUCUAAAUAAUAGCUUGUUCUGAAGAAUAUCUGGUUGUUUUAACUAAUUCACUAGAUGUUUAUUAAUUUAUUUGAUGACCAGAGGACUGGAGCACCUCUUCUAUGAGGACAAACUGAGAGAGCUGGGUAUUUUCAGCCUAGAAAAGACUCUGGGGGACCUCAUAGUGGCCUUCCAGUACCCAAAAGAGGCCUAAAGGAAAGCUGGGAAGGGACUUC
This is a long non-coding RNA of Centrocercus urophasianus (Greater sage-grouse), 2474 nucleotides long. RefSeq lists it as uncharacterized. NCBI's taxonomy places the organism in Eukaryota, Metazoa, Chordata, Aves, Galliformes, Phasianidae. The record is from RefSeq and is a predicted model, not a curated record. The transcript has 3 exons.